Molecule: long non-coding RNA, 1591 nt
Filed under: Calidris pugnax (ruff)
Lineage: Eukaryota; Metazoa; Chordata; Aves; Charadriiformes; Scolopacidae
Description: lncRNA (ENSCPUG00000015574.1)
Source: RNAcentral
CAAACCAAACCAAAAAACUAUUCAAUGAUUUAUUUCUGUAACGUUGUUUUGCACAUAGUGAAUUUAUGGACUAUCUCAUGAACUGAUCACAAGAGGGGUUACUGGAUACUGGAUACUUGAAAAUCAUUCGUUGUGCUUGGUCAUCUCUAAUGCUCCUUCUGUUUCAUGAAUAACAAGAUCUAACUUUUAUAACACAUUUUUUGCCCCAAAUUAAUUUCCUUUCAGCAAAAUAUUUUUCCCUUAGAGAUUUGAAUUGGUGAUAUAAACACAAAAUCUACUCUGCAACCAUUUGCAUAAACAGAAUUACUGUCUGAUGUUCACACAAGGAAUUUAACUUCUCUAUCCACUUCCCAGAAGUGAAGUACUCAUACGUAAAAAUAACUAUGAGGCGGACUGGUCCUUAUAUGUGCAGGCUGAGCAGAGGGGCCUUCCAAGCUUCAACAGAAAGCAAAGCAAGAGAGACUGUGGCCAGCUCGGAAAAGCAAGCUUCUAUACAUGACUGACCAAAAAUACUGCUGAACCCUACUCUCUGUGCUUUCUCUGUCCAUCCUGUGGGCCACCAAGGCUAUGAAGAAGGAGAUCAGAGCUGGUGAGAGCGAAGGAGGUGAUCUGUCAGAGGCUUCCAGCAAGAUUGUGGGUGACCAGAAUGAAGGUCAUAAAGGAUAAAAUCCUGGAGAUAUCCCGGAGAGUGUGAACUGUUGGAGAACCUGUUGGUCACCUCUCAGCCACUGUGGCGCCCUGGUGGAAUCACACCCAUGGCAAUUCCCAGCUUCAGAGAAGAGAACUAAGGUUGCAUCAUCUUGGAACACAGUUUAAGCCGGUGAGAGACAACCCCUUCUGAGAAGACUGUAGCUACUUCAGGAAACAGCUUGGCUCCUUCCAAGACAGUGUUGGGAUUGCUCAGCAGCUUGGAGAUCUGAUCAUCACCCGUUGUAUUAAAAGUCAGAAUGUGGAAUUGAAAAGGUUGAGAUCUGGGCUCCUGUUGCCUCCUCAGCACUUCAAAGUGGAUUUACAAAGUAACCAUCCCAACCACAAGCACACCACACCAGCCAGGCUUGUGGAAAUAUUGCCGAUCCUCACCUUCCCUCGCUGAACCUGGGCCAUCAUAGAGGCAAGAAUGCAAACUAUUCAGGGCUAAAAGAGGAAAGAGACAGUAUAAUUCUGUGGUUUACUUCCUAUGGUAUGACAUAAGAAGAGCGUUGAGGAGCCUGUUUAUUUGUCUCCAUUCAAGUUCAAUUAAAAACAAACAAGGAAAUAUCCACAAUCCUUUGGGAACGUGAACUGUAAAACCAAAGACUGCUAUCAGUAACUCAAGUGGAUGAAAUCUGUGCUGAACAUCUGUAUACCUAGUUGACCACACAAGUCAGAAGGACACUUCGGUUUUAUCGGAUGGAAGUUCUGGUGAACACGUUUUUUCCGAGACAAGCUUAAUGGCUCUUUCAUGUGGUUUGGUUUUGGUUAGUUUAUUGUGUACUUUUAUGUGUAGUUUGGCUGUUAUUCCUGAAAACAGAUCUGUUUCUUAACAAAAACAAAUGAAUGACUCGCUCUUUCUAAAUGACUUGCAACAAUAAACAUUAGGCUGCCACCCCCA